AUUAUUUGAUUUUUUAGAAACCAUCAUCAACAACUCCUCCAAACCAAGUCUCCCGAAUCUGCCUUCAUCUCUCUCCAAAAGCUUCAGCAUUUCCGAAAGGAGACUGAGACUAGGUCAAUGUGUUUGAGUUUUGGAGGAGAGAAAGGAAGA
Molecule: long non-coding RNA, 150 nt
Organism: Juglans microcarpa x Juglans regia
Lineage: Eukaryota; Viridiplantae; Streptophyta; Magnoliopsida; Fagales; Juglandaceae
Exons: 3
Source: RefSeq, a predicted model, not a curated record